RNA transcript from Brassica rapa (field mustard), 8652 nucleotides. It is a transcript of the gene named putative nuclease HARBI1, with no coding region annotated. NCBI's taxonomy places the organism in Eukaryota, Viridiplantae, Streptophyta, Magnoliopsida, Brassicales, Brassicaceae. The record is from RefSeq and is a predicted model, not a curated record.
AGGGCUGCAAGCUUGUUUUCCUCGUUGUGUAAUCAAGCAGCCGGGAGAAAUCAAUGGCAACUGAAAGGAUCAUCGAAAACAAACCAGAAAGCCACAAACACCAAAAGAAAAAUGACCCAUUCAUGUCCAUCUUGACGUUCCAUUGUCGCCUUCUACGUUGUGUAUCCAGGUGCUUUACGGCCACCACCACCACCAGCUAUCCAGCCACAAGACAUGAUGGCUAUACAAAAUUAACAAAACAUACCAACACGAAAAGGACAAUCAUCCUCGAUCUUGAUGAAACCUUGGUUCAUUCCACGACACAAAUGCCUGGAGUUAAAUACGAUUUCAUGGUAAUGGUAAAAAUGGAAAGUGAGAUUAUGCCAAUCUUUGUGGUAAAACGUCCCGGGGUGACUGAGUUCUUGGAAAGACUAGGGGAAACCUACAAUGUAGCAGUUUUCACAGCUGGUCUGGAAGACUAUGCUUCACAGGUUUUGGACAAGCUAGACAAGAAGGGUGUGAUCUCACAGCGGCUAUAUCGAGACUCGUGCACGGAACUGAAUGGAAGAUAUGUUAAAGACUUGUCUCUGGUAGUGGGGAAAGACCUUGGAAGUGCUUUGAUUGUUGAUGACAAUCCGUCUGCUUACUCAUUACAUCCAGAGAAUGGAGUACCUAUAAAGGCUUUUGUAGAUGACCUCAAAGAUCAAGAACUUUUGAAGCUGCUGGAGUUCCUUGAAAUUUGUUACGUGUAUGAGGAUAUGAGGGAUGCAGUACAGGAUCUGCUGCCAAACCGGCUGAUGUAAUGUGCAUAUAUCUUUAUUUCCUGAUAUGUUUUAUUUGUUUAGGAGAUGGGGAGGGAGAGAUAGUAUUAGGAAUUUUCAUUUUCUUGUUCUUUUUGCAUUGAAAAAGGAUGUUUACUUCUUCAAUGUUGCACCUACAUAUGUGGGGAGCUUUUACUGAAAACAAAAUACCAAAAAAAGAAGACAAAAACACUCUUGUACAAGUAGACAUUUGUGGAAUAAGAAAAGGGUUUUAGUUUUAGCAUAUAAUUUCUCAAAUGCCUUAUGAUAUGCACAAAGAAACUUCACAAAAAGAGAUGUUAUUGUUUCUGUUUUUGUGUUUAAGCAUUUCUUCAGCCUUUACAAGUUUUUUUUUAGCUCUGCUCCAAAAUCCAAAAACUAGCAGUGACGCGAAAAAACAAUUCCAAAACGCAAUGUAAAUGCCAUUAGAACAACGAAGCCAUAUCCUUUGCUAAGACAAACACAGUACAGCCUUACAGGGAAAGAAAAGACAAAAUACCAAGUUACCAAUUAGUUAACCGUUUGAAUACUUUCGCCGAAGGCUUUAACUGUUUUUUUUUUUUUUGUGGUUUUGUUUUCGUUUACAUUUUUAACACUAUGUUAUAAAAGAAAACACCAACAUUGCUUUAGUUUUGGAAACAAUCAAUCCCUGAGUUUUCUAUUAAUAGAAAGAUGAGAGAAAGUAAAGUACUAGGUCCUUCCACAAUCGACAAAGCAUACACACUUUUGACCAUAUCGGUAACAAUGUUCCAAGGUUAAUAAGCCUACAGUGUGAUCGCAUAUUCAUCAGAGCCUAUACGAAAGAAACAUCUUUCCAAUAGAUAGAUAUAAGGAUCAAGAUGACAAGAUCCAGUAUAGUCCAAAAUUUGUGAUACCCAAUUCAGUUAAAACAACAACGUAAACGUCAUAUCUCUCUAUUAUCUUCCACCAAAGCUCCACAAGAACUACAACCUACUUAGAUCAAAUCUGUUAAAUCUUAUAGCUAACAGCGGAAGACUUGACUUGGAAGUCGCAAGGCUUCGGCUUUACUGAAGCACAAGUCGUCGAGAGCUUCACUACGACACCACCUGCAUCUAGGGAAACCCGAACACUGAGACCUGGUCCGCAUCUCGCAGCAGAGCUUUCUAAUAGUCUUGUUCAGCUUCGGAUUUGUCCGGAUCUCCAACGGCUCGCGGUUCAGAACACGAACUUCAGGUUCAGAAGACGACGAAAGCGAUGGACAUAGUAAAACGAGGCUGAAGAUAAUGACUAAAGACGAGAAGCUUGAGCUAAAUGCCGACAUUGUCACCAAAAAAAAAAAGAGCUUUGUUUUUUGUUCGAUAUUUUUGGAAAGUUUCUUCUUUUUCUUUGUUUACUCUUUUUUUUUCCUUUUUUUUUGUUUGGCCUACCAAACUACAUCGUAUAUCCACGCGUGUGGGCGCAAGUUAGCGGUAUCCUUUAAUAAAUGAAGUCACUUUGUGAGUCUACAAAAUCAAUGCGAAACUUAUCGAAAUCAUUUAGAUGCAUUGGGCUUUUUAACGUUUGGUUUCCGAAAGAAUAUUUCCACCAAAUUGAUCUAUGUGAAGAUAAUGUGAUACAAUGAGCCUUGCUUCUCAUAGAGUCAUAGGUUUGUUAUCUGUGUUUGAUUCUGCAUUCUAAGUGCAUAGUUCGUGAAACAUGAUCCUCGCCACUUUUGUAGCAAGCACAUGAUGAUGCUACAGUAGAAAAAACACUGGAAUCAUGUUGUGAAUAUUAUAUAAGUAAGAAAGUGCUUAAGAGCAUGUUUAUUGCUAACAACCUUUAGUGUUGCUUAAGUGGUUGUUAAUGAAUUUUUAAAUAUUAAAAUUUAGCUAAGAGAUAAUUUUAAGAAACACUUAAUUGUAGGGGUUUAUUGGUAGUUGCUUAACUUAAGGUGCUUAACAAUAAAAAAAUAUUAAAUUUAUUUUUAAACAUAAAUUUUUUUAAUACUUAAAAUUUAUUAAUUAAAUAAACAUAGUUAAACAUAACAUUUGAAACAUAAAUUUUAAAAUACAAUAAUAAAAGCAUGGAAACAAAGAUUACUAAAACAAACGAGACAUCGAAACUCAGUUUGUAUCUUAAUCACUUCCAAAUUUACGCCAUAUAUGCUCAACCAAAUCAUGUUUCAGUUGUUGAUGUGCUUGUCUAUCACGAAUUCUUGUUCGAACACCCAUCUGAUUGGCGAUAUUUGUAGGGAUAUCUGUUGAAUAUGUGAGAUCGACGUGUGAACUUCCGCUUCCUUCUCCUUGUUGAAAAUCAGAAACAUCGUAUAGACUGUAGCUAUCUCGUUCAUUUUCUACUACCAUAUUAUGGAGUAUGAUACAUGCUCUCAUAAUCUUUCCAAUCUUGUCUUUAUCCCAAGAAAGUGCCGGAUUUUUUACAAUGGCAAAUCGAGCUUGUAAGACUCCGAAAGCACGUUCGACAUCUUUUCGGGCAGCUUCUUGAUGUUGAGCAAAUAAAACUGCUUUAGGCCCUUGUGGAAGUGGAAUGGAUUGGAUAAAAGUUGCCCAUUUCGGAUAAAUACCAUCGGUGAGAUAGUAAGCCAGAUGAUACUCUCUUUCGUUGACCGAAAAAUUCACUUGCGGAGCUUGACCAUUUAUUAUAUCAUCAAAAACAGGUGAGCGAUCAAGAACAUUGAUAUCAUUUAAGGUACCUGGCGGUCCAAAAAACGCAUGCCAUAUCCAAAGAUCAUAUGAAACCACCGCCUCUAAAACGAUAGUCGGUUUUCCAGAACCACGAGAAUAUUGCCCUUUCCAAGCGGUGGGACAAUUCUUCCACUCCCAAUGCAUACAAUCGAUGCUUCCUAUCAUCCCGGGAAAUCCACGAAGCUCUCCAAUAUGAAGUAGACGUUGAAGAUCAUCUUCUGUUGGUUUUCUUAGGUACUGAUCGCCGAACAAAUCUAUUAUUGCUUCCACAAAAUUUUCCACACAUUGUCGAGUAGUCGUUGCACCCAGUCGGAGAUAUUCGUCGACUGCAUCAAGCGCAGAACCAUAUGCCAACACACGAAUAGCUGCUGUACACUUCUGAAGUGUAGAGAGACCAAGCCUUCCAAGACCGUCCUUCUUCUGACGAAAGAAUGGAACUUCAUUUGAGAGACGAUCAACAAUAUGCAUAAAAAAUGGUUUGUUCAUUCGAAAUCGUCGUCGGAAUAGAUUUUUUGGAUACGUUGGCGCGUCACUAAAAUAAUCAUUCCAUAAUCGGAGAUGACCUUCUUCACGGUUUCUUUCGAUAAAAACUCUUUUCUUUCUUGUCUUCUUUUCGCCUUCUUGACCACCCAAAUUCUGAAAUGCUUCAUCGAAUGCGUCAUCGAAAGUUUGAUCAAAAAAUUGAUCGAAAGUUUCAUCCAUUGACUCCUCGAAAUUGUUAUGAGAAGAAGAUGCCAUGGGAUGAAAAUGAAUUUUUAUAAGUUGACAGAAUGUGUCAAUGAAUUAUACAAAAACAAGAUCAGCUAAGCAUUUGUUAAGCAACAACAUGAACAUCAAUAUCAUAGAACAAGAUCAAUUAAGAACAACAACAACAAGAACGAUCACAUUAAUCCGGUUACAGAACAACAGCAAAUAAGAACAACAACAACUAAGCAAAACAUAACAAGAACAUCAUCCGCUUACAAAAAGAAAUAGAACAACAACAACUAAGCAAAACAUAGCAAGAGAACAAGCCAACUAGAGUCAGAAGAAUUUGUUGAUGAGAUUUUUCUUGAGGACUUCCUCGUACUCAGCCAAAGGUUCAUUUUUCCCAAUAAGACUCUCAAGCAUUCUCAUCUUAGACAAGCGUUCUUUAGCUUCCAAAUCUUUCUGUUUGAUUGUCCACAUAUUCUCAAACUUAAGCAGAGUCUUAUCAUCAACAGCCGUCUGCUUCCCACUCGCCUUGGAGGCUUUAACACCUGGUGGACGCUUCUUAGAAUCGGCUUGAGAUGUUGAUGUAUCUGCACCAUCAGCGUCACAUCUUCUUUUUUUAGAGGUUCCUUCGUUCUUAGCAGAUGAAAGCUCACACCACUUCUGAUCGUUCCUCAACUCCUUCCAAGCAUGUUCAAGGAGGAAUUUCUUCUUGUGGUUGUUGUAGAAGAUGUGGUGGGCUUGUUUGAGAACAUCAUUGUCGUUUUGACCACUUGUUUUCUCUCUGGUCGCAGCUUCAAAUGCUCCACAAAAUUUACAAACCAGAUCAUUGAUCUUCUGCCAACGAUUCUUACAGUGACGUGCCUCCCUCUUCUCACUGCCCGCAUUCUGAGGACUAGCAUUGUAGUACGCAGCAAUUCUUGUCCAGAAUGUAUUAGACCUUUGCUCAUUCCCUACUACUGCAUCUUUGCUGGUGUUUAACCAUGAGCUGAUUAGCAGCACAUCGUCUCCUGGCGACCACGCUCUUCUUUCUUUACGAGGGCCUUGAGUUUCUGCACCAAAGUUUGAAUCCUCGGUUGCUUGAUUGCCAUAGAAGGGAACUUGCGGUGAAGUCUCAGUGCCAAAGGCAGGAUUUUGUUGACUGCUAAGCAGAUCAACAAAGUUGUUUGUUGCAGUAAACGGAUUAAAAUCCAUGGAUGAGUUUAAAGACUAGAGAAAUAAGAGAUAAGAGAUAAGAGAAAUAACAGGGGAAGGAAAGAGUUUUAAAGAAGGAAGAGAGAGUAGAGAAGUAAAGGAUAGCAUUCAACACUCAAAACAACUAACCACAACCAGAUUCGAGUUGACAUGUUUCUACCGUGAAUUAAUUACCAUUUCACAACAACAAUCUAUGACAAAGCAGUCAUUUAUUAUCGACAAAUCAAUUCAUUAUCAAAGCCUAAGCCAGUCAUUUAACUCUCUGUCUCAACCAUAACCAAUCCUAAUUUAUUACACGGGUUCAAUGCUCCACCCUAAGCCAGUCAUUUAACAUUUACCUACCUAAUUCAACCCUAAAGCUUUCAUUGGCUCUAAAAGAAGAUAAACAUUUACCUGUUUAUUACACGGGUUCAAUGCUCCACCAUAUGCACUCCUCUGCUUUGAAGAUCCUUCCUCGUUUGCCUCUUGAUCCACGCAGCUCAACAGAUACACAAACAGAAGCAAAUAACAAAUGAGAAACGACAAUCAAGGCCAACGAGACCACAGUCCUAAAAACGUUCACUUUAUAUCAUAAACGACCAACGAAUGGAACACAAAGUUCUUUAAAAAACGUUCAAUCCAUUUCGAAAACAAACACAAGAGACAAAGACAUAUAUUUAUCAAUCUGAAGAUAUAUGUUUUACCUGUUUUGCGGUUGUCUUCUUUAACCAACCUUCAUGUCUGUUGAUAUCUUAAGAAACACAAACAGAGACAAACAAAAAUUAAUCACUAGUAACCGAGACAACAAACAAAUCAAAUAACAAUGAAGGAUUCAGACAUAAAAAGAAUGAUACAAACGUUUACCUAUCGAUUUGAUUUCCUCGCAGUCAGCCGAGGAGAUCCACCAAGUGAGAGAACAGAGGUGGAGUCUUCAUCGUCGGGGGAAGAUCACGAGACAGAGGCUGGCUCUUCAUCGACGGGGGAAGAACACGACAGAAACGGGGAGUCAUCGAGGAGAGAAAGAGAGAAGCGGAGUCCUCGAGAUUUCACCACAACGAGGCGGAGUCAUCGACGGAGAGAAUCGUGAAACGUGGAGCCGCCGAGAGAGAGAAAGAGAGAAGUGGAGCCGUCGACUUUAACGGAAAACGACGCGGAUACCUCGAAGAUUCAAUCGACAAACACGGAGUCGUCGAGGGAGAGAAAGAGACCUGCGGAGUCAUCGAGGGAAAGUGGAAACAGAGUCGUCGAGGGAGAAAGAGAAAGACGCGUACAAUGACACGUGUCCCAUAACAUACGGCGCUUGUGGAGCUUAAUUAAGCAUCGCCUCCUUGCUUAAUACAUUAUUUUCUUUUUUUUUUAAUCCGAAAAACAUUAAACACCCCCUCUAAGCACUUGCGAUAAACGUGCUCUUAUAUGGAUUUAAGCUCUUGAAGAUUCUUUCAAAGUUAUUAGAUAUUAAAAAAACUCGAAUAAUCUAGACAAAUCAUACAAGUAAUACUAAUAGAAAGACAUAACUAGUCCGAAAAAUUAACAAAAAGACAGACAUGUGAAAUCAGACAAAGGUGUUAGUUUCCUACGUGGAUUUUAAUUACUUUGCACCGAGGAUUAUUACAUUUCCAUGCAAAAUUUUGGGAAACUAGUAAUGAUAUUAGAUUCGAAUAAAUGAUUUUUCACUGUAACUUUUUUGGGUACGUAAUACAUUGUAAAUUCUUGUCAUAUAUGUACUUAAUACAUAUACAUACACUGAGUUUUUUGACAAAAAAAAACACAUACAUAUCUGCUUGUAUCUACUACAUGAUUUUGUAAAUCGUCCUUUAGAUGAAAAGCUUAUCCAUUAGUUUGUUUUAGCUGCUAUCUCUUGUAACCUAGAGCCGGUGUUAUUUCGGAGGAUCGGAAUCGCUGUUUGUUCAGAUCCUCUUUUUUGUUUUGUGAAAUGAAAUAAUGUUUAAAAAAUAAAAAAAAUUCUGCAAUAUAGUUCUCAUAAGUGCACUGACUCCGACAAUCUAUUGAAAUCUUGGCUUUAAGACACCAUAAGAAACUAUCUAUUCUUUAUAUGUUCUAUUGGCUAAUUCGAUCGAUUUCAGUAAGAAUUCAUUUAGUGCUAAAGGUUAUAUUAGGUAUCAAAUUGUCUAAUCUGAAUUUGAAAUGUCUUUUGAAUAAUGCGAAGAAUAACCAUAUUGUCUAUUAUUAUACUACUAUGUUAAUUGUAUAUGCCAAAAUGUAUAUACCAAAAUUCAAAUCCAGACUAUUCAAAUAAUAGCAGUUUUAUUUCAGCAGGAAUCAAACAAAAGACAUAUAAUUAACUUUUAUCAUUAGGCUGCGACUAGUUAGUUAAAAAGUUUAUUUGUUUCACGAAAUAAGAAAGUUAUUAAAAGAUUCAAGAACUUAGAUCCGAGAGCUAGGCGGAGAAGCACGAGAGCUAAGACCAUCCGCAUUAGCGGUUUAAGAGAGGUUCGUGGGCUCGAAAUCUUAGGCCCGUUGGUUUAAAAAAAAAAGAAAAAUUCGAUAAGUUUGAUGAAACGGGCCUUGCGCAUGAACCCGUAAGGGGCGGAUGUUGCCACGCGGCGUACGCUGGUUGGUCAAGCGUUCCGCGUUGACGAGGAGGAAAGUCGGGCCACGUCUUGUUUCUUCUCAUUUUCCCCUUUCUCUGAAAAACUAGGGUUUCACCGUGAGAGGCGACUUAUCGUGCGACGACGAUUCCCGGCGUUUUUCUCGACGUAAUCGACGACGUCCUCUUCUCUCCAUCAGCGUAGAUGGAUCCGGAAGAAGAUAGAAGACAUUCAAAGAAGCAACAUGAACACAUCAACAUGUUAAGUUUCGUGGCGGAUUCUGAGUACGGUAUUCCUAAAAGGUGUCCGUGUGGUGGGAGACUCAUAAACGAGGUGCGCGGGGAGGAGGACUACGACACUCUUCCUGGGAAGCGGUUCUUCACCUGCAGAAACUACGAGGCUGAUGGGCUCCAUUAUCGUCAGCCUUGGGUGAUAGGUGUGCAGGAGGAGCUCGAGAGGCUAACUAAACGGGUGGAAGAGGCUGAGGAGGUGAUGCUGGGGGUGUCCACUCUUAGUAAACGGUUUGAGAGACUUGAGGAACAGGUUAAUUCACUCAAUGAGGCUGUCUAUGACCUCACUGUGCAGGUCCAUUCCCUCGAGAAGGUCUGCUUCGAUUGACAAUGAAAGGUCACGGGUUGGAGGUGACAGUGUUGCAGGUCACGGGUUGGAAGUUUAGGUUGUUGCAGGUCACGGGUUAUGUUUCUUUCUACACUGCAGGUCAAUCAUGUACUAUGUCUAUGUAUUUUGCUAUUGUUGUAACUCUGAACUUGGUUCACGGAUGUACUGAACUUGAUUCACGGAUGUACUAUGUUGUAACUC